GACGUAGGGCGCGAGCGUUGUCCGGAAUCAUUGGGCGUAAAGCGCGCGUAGGUGGCCCCAUAAGUCCGCUGUGAAAGUCAAAGGCUCAACCUUUGAAAGCCGGUGGAUACUGUGGGACUAGAGUACGGAAGAGGCGAGUGGAAUUCCUGGUGUAGCGGUGGAAUGCGCAGAUAUCAGGAGGAACACCAAUAGCGAAGGCAGCUCGCUGGGACGUUACUGACACUGAGGCGCGAAAGCGUGGGGAGCGAACAGG
Molecule: ribosomal RNA, 253 nt
Filed under: uncultured bacterium
Lineage: Bacteria
Description: partial 16S ribosomal RNA
Rfam family: Bacterial small subunit ribosomal RNA
Source: RNAcentral